RNAcentral lists this microRNA precursor (264 nucleotides) under Marmota monax (woodchuck). Lineage: Eukaryota; Metazoa; Chordata; Mammalia; Rodentia; Sciuridae. The record is from RNAcentral.
GAAAGAAGAAAAGAAGAGGUGGAGGAGGAGGAGGAGGAGGGGAGGAGGAGGAAAAAGAAGAAGAAGAAAAAGAGAAAGGGGAAGGGAAGGAGACUGAGGAGAUUUAUUAUUUAUUAUUAUUAAGAAUUGGAGUGGGUAAUAGUCAAACCUGGGGUAGCCUUGGCCCUCAGAUAUUCAAAUUAGAUCAUUGGGAUUGCAUCUAUCCCAGAUGUCUCUUUUUUCUCCUCCUCCUCCUCUUUCCCCUCCUCCUCCUCCUCAUUUUCC